UUUCUAAUUUGGUGCCUUCUUGACCGAGAAAAGGCAGAAAAUGACUCCACUCCACUCUACGCUACCUGGAAAUCAUUUCAAACAAUUUCUAGUGAAGACUUAGUUUGCGAACUCAUUAGUGAAUUACUCCUCGUUUGUGUUUCGAAAUGGUGUGCACUUGCAUGUUACCGGGAUGUUCAGCCAGCACAAGGAAAAUACACGGGAGUAAAUUUUCAUAGAUUACCCAAAGAGUUGGAGUUGUGCAAAAAGUGGCUACGGGCUAUCAAUAACCCGAAGUUCGGAGAGGACACAGCCAUUGAAGCACUAAAACAUCUGACGGUGUGCAGUCUACAUUUCAAGGCAGAAGAACCCCUUAGGAGUGAAGAGACCCGCGCUUGUGAAAACCGCAAUUCCGUCGAUAUUUACCUUGCCAGAUGAUGUCGACGAACAGCCAGGAACUUCUGGAACUAGCAGUACUAGCUGCGCUAAACGCAUUUGCCUGGAGGUAAGGUUUUUCUGACUCGACUCUACUUCUCGACUGAGAACACACUGAUAUAGUCGUCUGCUGUAAAGCAGCACAUCUCAUAUGAUUUGGCUGUUUAUAAAGUAAAUAUCUUGUAUGUUUUGGUCGCUUGCUGCCUCGCUAACUCCAAUCGUCAGCAACGAGGAAGCAAAGUUAGCAAUGUAACGUUAGACAGUUAUGAAUAUCGUGUCAAUUGUGUGUUAGCUGCAUAAGUUUGCUAUUAGCGAUGUAAAUCCACCAUGUUUUACUAUGUUAGUCUGACAUUAUUCAAAUGUUUUUAACGUUAUUGAACAAGAACAGUUUGUAAGUAGCCUAAAUAAUAUUAUCUCUAAUCAUGGCUGCAGUGGAGGCUAAUCGCAAGUAAACGCAGUUUAUCCACCACUGAAUUUCAGAAAUAGUUUAUCCACCUCUUGAUAGUUUAUCCACCACUCAAUACAUUCAAUGCACUUCCUAAUAGUGUGUAUGCACUCAGGGAACUAUUUUAAAUUAGUGGAAUAUAGUUUGAAAAGAAACCUCUUGUUUGUUUUAUAGUCACCAUGUCCAAGUACACCUGGUCUUGAUACCAGUGCCAGCACCCUUGAAGUUGGUGAAACAGAUGAAAGGCACUACAAAACAGGUGGAAGUGCAUUCCACACCACGUGGUCUAUGAACAUCGAUGGACUGACACGGAUGGAAAGCGGCAUCACUGUGACCAUGCUCCUCUAACAGCUGAGGAGCAGAAGAAGAGGAUGUGGCUGAAGAAGGACUCGGUGGCAUAUCAGGACCUGACGUCGCUCGUCUUUGAUAAAAGGCUUUUGAAAGAUCUUCAGAAGAUGGCCCUCUUCAAACAUACUGGGCCACUGGAGAUCUUUCACAGAGCUCUCCUGAAGUACCUCCCUAAAUGCCAGGCCUUCAGCUACGAGGGAGAGGGCCUACCUCACCAUCAUGGAACAUAAUGAGAACAUUGUGGCAUGAGAACAAGCCACCACGGCAACAGGAGAACCACGCGUCAAGCAGGUCUUCUGAAAAAGUCAAAGCAAUGAAUAGUCAAGAAAAUCUAUAAGCCACACACCACCAAGUUCAUCCAGACACUAAUUGAGAAGGUCAUAGAAAACAGACGCAACCCAAACAUAACAUUCAAGGACUCAACCGCUUCACUCACCCAACCACAACCUCCUUUGCCACCUAACAUUGCCCCCUGUCCCAAAGCCGUCAAAGAAAGCUGCAACAUAAUCAUUCAAGAGCCGCUUCUGAGACGUCAAGCUCAACAUUAACCCAUUCCUCACAAAUAUUUUGUAAUAUUACCAUGUCUUAUGUCUUUGAUGGUCUUUUGACCUUAUCCUUGCACUACCUUACCUGUUUGCACUGCCACUACUAAGAAAGAACUACAACAACGUACAUUUUAAGCAUUCAAUUAAAUAACUAUAAUAUACAAACAAUACAACUGUUGAAUGACUAUAUACAAACAAUGAAACUAUAGCUCCUCGAGCGUCCUCCGCUUCUUGGUGCCCGCAGUACUGGCCGUCUGGAGCUGGGUAUUUCUGGCGGAUAGCCAGCACGACACAAGCAGG
Molecule: long non-coding RNA, 2052 nt
Organism: Alosa sapidissima (American shad)
Lineage: Eukaryota; Metazoa; Chordata; Actinopteri; Clupeiformes; Clupeidae
Exons: 3
Source: RefSeq, a predicted model, not a curated record